GUGAACGUAAUCGUAAGGCAUCUGUUGCAGCUAGCGGGUGUUUUAUUUGGUAGCUGAAUUGAUUUGAAUCUAUCAUAAGACACACGCGGCUAUAACCGAUGUCUAAAUGCUUCA
This 114-nucleotide microRNA precursor is filed under the name Drosophila simulans. Its description in RNAcentral is "microRNA dsi-mir-970 precursor". Its record names the gene dsi-mir-970. The stretch from base 22 to 98 matches the Rfam family "mir-970 microRNA precursor family". The record is from miRBase by way of RNAcentral. Lineage: Eukaryota; Metazoa; Arthropoda; Insecta; Diptera; Drosophilidae.